RNAcentral lists this long non-coding RNA (1124 nucleotides) under Bombyx mandarina (wild silkworm). RNAcentral's name for it is "uncharacterized LOC114248375". Lineage: Eukaryota; Metazoa; Arthropoda; Insecta; Lepidoptera; Bombycidae. The record is from RNAcentral.
UCGGAUUUAUCUAUCCAUCGUCGGGAGGACGGAUAGCCUGCUAAAGAUAGAACGCUCAUACAAAUCGUGCUUACUUCCGUUUCAAUAUGAGUUUUAAGUAACUCUCCGGUAGGCGGCGCUAUCUCUAGUAUGGGCAUUCGCUUAUCUGUCAAAAUCGGCCGGUUACAUGUUUAUCUUUCGAAAGUAAAUCGCUAUAAUUUAAUAAUUGUUUCUCUUCAUAUUGGCAUAUUGUAGCAGUGAUGAUAGUGAUAUGGAAUUAUUUCAAAUGAUAAUGGAUUGUGAUGCAGAUAGUGAUAGUGAGGCCGAUAUCAUAUGGUUAGGAAAAUAAAGAUCGUCUGAAUUACAUGGCGAAGAUCAAUAAUUACGAAUUUGACUAUAGAUUUCUGAGCAAAGGUGUUGUGAAUGAAUUGAUUAAUUUAAUGAGACCAUAUUUGAGUGUAACGUCAAAAAGGUAAGAUAAAUUUUAACCAUAAAAGUACUCGUUAUUACAACUUAUAUUUGUUUAUAGCAAUAGCAAAAUUAUACCUAAUUUUUGUUGUGUUACAAAAUCACACUCAACAGGAAUUCUAUAAUACUGCUGGAUUCCCAUGGUGCCCUAAAUGACAUUCAUAUACUAAUACAAUAACCUGGUAGGCUAUUUACCUUCAUUCUUAUUACACACUGAUACCUCUACAUUUUAUAUUUGUGUUACAGAUUCAAAUAUAGGAGAGGAAUUUAGAAAUAGAAAAAGAGUAUUUUGAAUGUGUAAUUUGUGUGCAAUGCAUCAUUGAUGUUUCAAAAUGUUGUUGCUUGAUGGCCUGGGUCUACUCAUGAUACAACUAUAAUUAACCAUUCCGAUUGAAAAGAUGCAUUGGUGUUUGUAAAAGAAGACUCCCUGUAUAUCAUUGAAAAGUAGAUUAAAACUAGAAAAUAUGCAAGCUGUUAUUAUAGCUGCCAUGCUGCAUAAUAUCGUCAGAAGUAUGAAUUUAGAAGAAUUAGAAUCAGAAAUUUCAGUCGCAGAUACAUUACAGGAAAAUAAUAUAAUUGUUCGUAACAAUUUUUCAAAACUUACAUCUGAAAUACAACUAUGUACUUAUAAAUAAUUGCUUCCAAAGAUAAUUUAUAAAAUAAACUCCAAAGAUAAU